Molecule: long non-coding RNA, 1908 nt
Organism: Vespula vulgaris
Lineage: Eukaryota; Metazoa; Arthropoda; Insecta; Hymenoptera; Vespidae
Exons: 3
Source: RefSeq, a predicted model, not a curated record
AAAGACGGAGAGAGAGAGAGGGAGAGAGAGAGAAGAAAGAAAGAAUGAAAAAAAAAAGAAAGAAAGAAUUGGCAACCCUUUUUUGGCUUAUUAUCGUUGACCCAACCUAGAAACUUGGACCUCUAUAUCCGUGAUGGAUCCAAACUCGUUCUUUUCUCAACGACGGAUUUAGUGGGAAGGACAGUCGAGGAAGAAAGAAUAAAAAAAAGAAGAAAAAGAAAGAAAAAAAAUAGGAAAAAGAAACAAAACGAAAAGAGGAAAAAACGACAGGAAAAGUUUUACGUUAAUGGCCCGAGCGAUUUCUUAGCAACAGAAAUUCAAUUUAUAAGGAGACAAACAGGAUUUCAUCUUUGUUCUGAAGGAAAAUAGUAUCAGUAGCGACGUGCCUUCGAGAAGGCUCUUCGAAAUUUUCCAAAGGCUUUCCAAAGGUAUGAUGUCUUUGGCUGGUAAAGAAAAUUUUUUGUCUAGAAUCAAGGAAGGAACGUGGCUGCUACUCGUGCCGGCACGAGUGGAGAUGGCGGCUUUGGUGGCCGAUGGAGAAGGGUACCGCGCGCCAGAGAGAGAGAGAGAGAGACGGAGAGAGAGGGUAGGCGGGUGAAAGCAAGGGGUGGAAAAGCUGGAUCAAUAGUCCCGUUGCCGCCUCACUCAAUUUGCUCUCUCUGUCUCUGUCUCUGUCUCUCUCUCUCUCUCUCUCUCUAUCUCUCUCUAUCCCUUUCUAUCUCUAUCUCUAUCCUACUCUCGCUCAAUCACUCUCACCCUUCGUCCUUCACUUCCCCCUUCUCUACUUCCCUCGAAUUUGUGCAACUUCACUCGCCGAUGUUCAUUAACUACGAGAUCCUCGCCAUUCUUACUUGACUCUUUCGACACUUCUGGUGGCGCACGACACCAAUCCGGGAAACUUCCCCCCAUGUCGCACUUUUCAACCUUCCUCUCUACACUCUUCUUCUAUCCCUCCCUUAAGCUACUAUCUACCACUGUUACCACUAGUCCAUCGAUGAGCCACAGUGACGCUCAGUAAUUGGCACUCGAUGUAAAGCAAUCUCGUUGUUUUCUCCCUCGACGAGAAAACUCGUUCACGCUCACUCUGAUCCGAAAAAAAGUUGUUUCGUUUGUACAAGUUUUCUUAGACUCAGAGAAAAUGUGUGUAAUUUGGUAAAUGACUAUGUUGGAUUCGUUAAAUUAACAACGACGAAAGUACAACACCCAAGAGAAAAGAGCAAUUCGAAAUGCUCGUCACUUUGCGAACGAAGCAAAAGGAUAGAAGAAACGGACAGUGGAAGACGGACAGCAGUGGUAAACAGUGUAGACGGACAAGGCCAGUGGAGAAUUGAAACGGACAAUGGGGAUAGUAGAAGCGGACAAGAGAAAUGGACGCUGGUGGGACUCUAGCGUAGAAAUAAAUAGUAGAAACGGCUGUUACAAACGGCCAACGAGUGACAAAGUGUGGCUGACUGUGUGGAUGCUCGCUAUCGAAAAGAGGUAAAAGAAGGCGUGCAAUUCUCAAUGGCGUCGAGGAAGCAGCGGUAACUGGGUGGAGAAAAUGGAUGAACGAACGAUCGCUAAAACGAACAAUGGAGAAUAAACAAGACUCGUAGAAUUCGUAUAUGUACCUACAUAGACGAUGGCAUAGGAAAGCGUCGAUUGCAGUGCGACUAAAGCGAGCAAAUAUCGAGGUUAUAUAUGAGGCGCCGAUAGAGCAUGUUGCUUGCAAAUGAGAGAGACAGGAAGAGAGAGAGAGAGAGAGAGAAAGAGAGAGAGGAGGAAAUGCGUUUAUUUAAUUCAAUUAAAAUUCUUAUUAAGUUCAAACAUCGUGUCCUCGUGAUUCGUUUCGAUGCGAAUUCAUGGUGAACGAAUUAGAAAUCAUCACGUGUCACCGAUACAUCUACAAAUAUACCUAUGUGUACUUGA